AUCUCUCCGGUGCCCGGGAGAGGGGCCGGGCGGGACGGUACAGCAACCGGAGGAACCUUGAUUCCCUGCCCCGCAAGCCCAGCACCGGUUUUGCCGCCUUGUCUCGAAGGGUCAACCAGGCCAUCUCCUGCCUCGGGACGGAGAGCGCCCUGGAAAAGGCGGAGGGGCCGACCUUAGUCACACAAGAGCGAUGGCAAGAUUUUCACCCAAGCCAUCUGACUUGGAACCCAUGGAUUAACCAACUGCCACUGGAGGCAAAUCCAGAGACCAAGGGAGCAGUUUAUACAGAAACAGAUGCCGGCAUUAACCCACAGGGAGUUAUUGUUACAGACUGAAGAAUAGAAAAAGAAAAAGCCAAAUAGAGCCUUAUUCCACCCAGCUUAGCUUCCAUAGAACAUUGUGAAUGAGAGAGUAGAUUCUUGAGAAAAUCCUGGGGUUACCCAGUUUUCAUGACUCGUUUCGUUAGACCAUCAUUUCCCAAAGUGUGUUCUUUAUAAAAAGUAGUUCUUCAGAAGGCUGGAAAGUAUUGUUUGGAAGGGGGUUCCGUGAUGAAGUCAGUUUGGAAUGCAGGCUUUACCCAGUUUUGAGAAGAUUCUUUGCAGGACUUCUCAGGGCCUUUGUGAAUCUCCAAAGAAAGAAUGUAGUGUGAAGUAUGAAAACUUUCUCCUGGCUGAUGGAACACACUUUGCAAAGCACUUCCACAGACCAAUAUGAUUUCCAGUAAGAGCUAAAUAAAUUUUGUUAGUUGUUAAGGCAUAAAACAUUAAUAUAGGAUAUUACAGUCCUAGGCUUACAUUACUUAAUUUGGAUUUUUUGCAAAAAUUAACUUUAAUGUGAAAAAUUAGGAGACAAUAUAGAGAAAAUUCAAGAGCCUCUCCAGAUAAAUUCUUAGAACUAAUGAGAAAGUUCACUAAAGUUUCUGGAUAUAAAAUGCCCAGGGCACCGGAGGGGGAAAUACUUUCUUGUAUAUUAAUAGCAAACAAUUAGAAUAAUUUUUAAAAUACCAUUUAUAAUAGUACCAAAAUCUAUGAAGUAUCUAAGAAUAAGUCUAUUAAAAUAUGGCCAAAACAUUCAUGGAGAAAACUUAUAGCCUUUAUUUAAAGACAUAAAAUAAUUCUUAAACAAAUGGAGACAUUAUUAAAUAUGUUUAUGGAUAAGAGAGACUCAAUGUAGUAAAGAUGUAAUCUUCUCCAUCUUUCACUUCCUUUGCUUCCUAAUUAAGACUUAUAUCGCUCUUGGCUGCGCACAGUGGCUCACACCUGUAAUCUCAGCACUUUGGGAGACCAAGGCUGGCAGAUCAUAUGAGGCCAGGAGUUCAAGACCAGCCUGGCCAAUAAGGCGAAACCUUAUCUCUACUAAAAAAUAAAAAAUAAUAAUAAAAAAAAAUAGCUGGAUGUAGUGGUUCAUGCCUAUAAUCCCAGCUACUUGGGAGUCUGAGGCAGGAGAAUCACUUGAACCUGGGCAGCAGAGGUUUCUGUGAACAAAGAUUGUGCCUCUACACUCCAGCCUGAGCAAGACUCCAUCUAAAAAAAAAAACAAAAAAACGUAUAUUGUUCUUCUCACCCUUCUUUCACUGUCAGAAUGUCUUCUGCCCAUCUUAGCAAG
RNAcentral lists this long non-coding RNA (1605 nucleotides) under Homo sapiens (human). RNAcentral's name for it is "non-protein coding lnc-COIL-2:14". Lineage: Eukaryota; Metazoa; Chordata; Mammalia; Primates; Hominidae. The record is from RNAcentral.